CCUACGGGAGGCAGCAGUGAGGAAUAUUGGUCAAUGGUCGGGAGACUGAACCAGCCAAGCCGCGUGAGGGAGGAAGGUACAGAGUAUCGUAAACCUCUUUUGUCAGGGAACAAAGGCGGGGCCGUUUCCCCGGAUGAGUGUACCUGAAGAAAAAGCAUCGGCUAACUCCGUGCCAGCAGCCGCGGUAAUACGGAGGAUGCGAGCGUUAUCCGGUUUUAUUGGGUUUAAAGGGUGCGCAGGCGGCUUGUUAAGUCAGCGGUAAAAGCCCGGGGCACAAGCCCGCCCCGCCGUUGAAACUGGCAGUCUCGAGUUGGAGAGAAGUAUGCGGAAUGCGCGGUGUAGCGGUGAAAUGCAUAGAUAUCGCGCAGAACUCCGAUUGCGAAGGCAGCAUGCCGGCUCCACACUGACGCUGAGGCACGAAAGCGUGGGUAUCGAACAGGAUUAGAUACCCUUGUAGUC
Molecule: ribosomal RNA, 459 nt
Filed under: uncultured bacterium
Lineage: Bacteria
Description: partial 16S ribosomal RNA
Rfam family: Bacterial small subunit ribosomal RNA
Source: RNAcentral